RNAcentral lists this ribosomal RNA (478 nucleotides) under uncultured bacterium. RNAcentral describes it as "bacterial SSU rRNA". It matches the Rfam family "Bacterial small subunit ribosomal RNA", at positions 30 to 524 of the family's 1533-position model. The record is from RNAcentral.
AUUGAACGCUGGCGGCAUGCCUUACACAUGCAAGUCGAACGGCAGCACGGACUUCGGUCUGGUGGCGAGUGGCGAACGGGUGAGUAAUGCAUCGGAACGUGCCAUUGAGUGGGGGAUAACGUAGCGAAAGUUGCGCUAAUACCGCAUAUUCUGUGAGCAGGAAAGCAGGGGACCGCAAGGCCUUGCGCUCUUUGAGCGGCCGAUGUCAGAUUAGCUAGUUGGUGAGGUAAAGGCUUACCAAGGCGACGAUCUGUAGCGGGUCUGAGAGGAUGAUCCGCUACACUGGAACUGAGACACGGUCCAGACUCCUACGGGAGGCAGCAGUGGGGAAUAUUGGACAAUGGGCGGCAAGCCUGAUCCAGCCAUGCCGCGUGAGUGAUGACGGCCUAGGGUUGUAAAGCUCUUUCGCCAGGGACGAUAAAUGACGGUACCUGGAUAAGAAGACCCCGGCUAACUUCGUGCCAGCAGCCGCGGUAAU